Sebastes umbrosus (honeycomb rockfish) is the source of this 1039-nucleotide long non-coding RNA. RefSeq lists it as uncharacterized. The record is from RefSeq and is a predicted model, not a curated record. The transcript has 3 exons. Lineage: Eukaryota; Metazoa; Chordata; Actinopteri; Perciformes; Sebastidae.
UCCGGGUACAUUAUCACUCAGCUGUUGAGCCAUUUGGCAACUCUCAUAGGAAUGAACGGGGCCUCGCCUCCAACGCUGUAUCCACAUCUCUUUAUACAUCCACGGGGAAGAGCUCCCGCUCUCUAUUUAGAUAUAAACGGACAUUAUAAGGCAACGAAAACACAACGAUUCUUAUUUUCAGGUGAUUAAACACUAAAGAAAACAUAAUUUUUAAAAUUGUAUAUUCCAUUCUGCCAAUAGAUCCUCCUAAUUGUUACACGCUGGCCCUUUAAUAGGUAUUUUUCGUUGUGUGUGCGCCACCACGUUUCGUCUGAUGCCAGUGAGUUACCAGGUGUUUGUGUGUGUGUGUGUGUGUGUGUGUAGAUCUGUCUGUCUGCAUUUGGUGCACGUCCGUUUGUGCGUCGGCAUGUGUUUGUGUGUCUCGCGAGGGUGAUGUGGCAUGGAGGUCACUUCUGUCAGAUCCAACGUCCAGGCCCAUGCUGUGAUGUGAAGGGCACUGUCAAGAGACAACCACGAGGCAGCACAGGUACAGCUGGCCUCAGUGCUCUUUUUCCUUUGUGGCACGCACACACACACACACAUAGGCUGGGACAAACAUGCUUCGUGUAAAGCGACACACGGUGGUGGGAAAGCCCCCCCCCCCAGGGAGAAAGCCCCAGGAUUGUAGAGUCUCUUCAAAACAAACGCUACCACCUACUUGUUGACAAUCUGCUCGCUGGUGACCAGCUACGUGACGCAUCGUGUAACUGGGAGGAUGGGAGCUCUGGCAUAUUUGUGGCUUAGCUGGGAGGAUAGGAGCCUCAUACAGAAGAUGUUUAGAGCCACGUACUGAACUUGGAAGAGUAAAGGUUGGAAUACAACAACAACCUGUGGGUGGAUAAGUCCGAAUUUGAAACAUAGAUGCUGGAGUUUCGGUCGGAUGACCUCUUGAGAGUCCAGUUGUGUUUGUAACAUUUGAAAAUCUGCCAAAGAAAGAUGAUGAUAAUGUAAAAAAAUGUUUUUACAGAAAGUAGAAGUUUAUAGUCUGUCAGUCUGUCAG